RNAcentral lists this ribosomal RNA (470 nucleotides) under Belvosia sp. Woodley04B. Its description in RNAcentral is "partial ribosomal RNA". The record is from RNAcentral. Lineage: Eukaryota; Metazoa; Arthropoda; Insecta; Diptera; Tachinidae.
GUGAACCUGCGGAAGGAUCAUUAAAGUUAUCNUUACAGUUAUAAACAAAAACACAAUAUAUAAAAUACUUAUAUUGUAAAAUUAUGGCAAAUGCCAAAAAGAAACAAAAUAACAAUAAUAAAAAUGUUUAUUAUUGUAUNGCCUCCUAGGCAAAAAAGUAUAGUAUAUAAAGUGUUUGUGUGUGUGUUACACCUUACACAAAAAAUUACUUAUUUAUCUAAAAUUUGUAAAAACUGAAAUUGUGUGGACGUUGUUAUACAAAAUUAAUUUGUAUACAAAAUGUCUAAAAAUUUGAAAUACAUAAAAUUAUAGUUGUACUUGUAUAAAAUUGAAAAGUAAUUUUAUAUAAGUCAAUCAUUGUUCUUUUUUAAGAACUUGAGACAUUCGCAACAAAAAUUUUAUGUUUUAAUUAUAAAAGAGAAGAAUAAUAAGCAAAAAUUAUUGAAGGAAUUGAUAUAUGCCAAUUUGAA